AAGUGCGGAGAAUUUAGUUUUCCUUUAUGUCGCUUUUCAUGUAAUUUCCUUUUGAUACUGAACAGCUUGUGCUGUAGAACCAAGAUGUCUCUGUGUCAUGUGUCUCUGCCUCCAUGUCACUUCUGUCUCCUCGAUUCUCUGUGUUUAGGGUGUGAAAUCAGCAGCAAGAUAUAGCUGAUUUCCAUCCAGUGAAUCAGGCAAUAAUCACUCAUACCCUCAACACGUUCUUUUCCAUAACAUAAAACACGGAAGAAAUAAGUCCUUGUCUGUUCAUAAGUCAGACAUAAUGCAUUCACAAAUGCACCUUUAACACCCCAAUGAGGAAAAUACAAUUGACAAGGCUCUGUAAACAAGAAGCAUAUCUGAAGCGUUAAUAUAGGCCAUUCUUUUCUUCUCUUUCAGAAAGAGAGCUGAAUGCACAACAUUUGUCUCAUUAUGCCUAGCAUGCUAUUGCUUUGCUUUUUCACAAUGGCAAGGUAACCUGCUGACACAGCUUGCCAAGCUCCUGCCUCCCUCAGUGGAUAUAUAAGCCAAGCUGAUGCAAAUGGCCUAUUGAAUUACUUUUGCUUGGCAGUCCUCCCAUACACAAGAUGAAGAGCAGCAACUUUGAUUUGUGGGACCUCUUCUCAUUUACUUCUUUUGUAGUGCAGUAUCUUUUGUUUGAGAAAUGGAUGCAUUCUGAAGGGAGAAUUUAAAUUCUGCCCUAUGAUCCUGUAGUGAAAAUCCUUUUCCUGCUGUUUGAGCUACCAUUCCUCUAGCAAAACAAGAUAUGCAAACACAUUCCUGAUGUCAGUGAGUCUGCUUAAAUAUUUGACAAAAUCAUGUGCCCAUGUUCUUACAAGUAUAUGGUUAAAUGUGCAGAACAAAAUUUGGUUUGGAAGAAACCAAGAUGGAAUGAGGAACAGAAGAGAAUAGUGGGCGCCCACUAGUGUCUUCCCAGAUGACAUGAGGUGUGAGCAUGUCUUCUAGUGCAACAGAGUGGCGUCUCAAAACCAAUUGCCAUGUACUCCUUGGAGUGAUUCCCAAGGAUGGACACAGCAGAAAAAGUAAAAAAGAGAAUUUGGUGAGAAAUAAUUCUGUGGCUUGUUCCAGGCAUUGUCUACAGGAAACUGAUAAAAUGCUGGUGGAAAUAUUGAUUAAAGUUGAUAACAGUUGACCUCUGUUUUUCAAAGCAGUUCAUAGGUCAGUUAGCUUAUAAGAAUCAGAUAAUCUUGUUGGUUCUUUCUGGAUUUUUAGUUUUUAUUUCCCACACAUUUUGGUUUGAAGGGUACAGAAGUGUCAUUCACAGAUCACUUCUCAGAUGGAGAACAGGAGCUUUCUUACACAGAAGACACAUUUAUCUCCAAAGCUGUCUCUUUUGGUGCAUUCCAAGCAGCCAGUUUAUCACAACAUGGUCGAUGUAGUAUUUUCACCUCCAUCAGUAAGUUAGCAAUAUCCCUCCAGAUAUUUCUGACCUUGUGUGUAUUGGUUAUAAAAAAAGUCAUCUUUUUUGGCAUUUAGUGAAAGAGGUUACUAUUGCUUUUCAGACAAAAUAAAGAAUACGUGCUUUAGCUGUUUUGUAACUAA
This is a long non-coding RNA of Numida meleagris (helmeted guineafowl), 1566 nucleotides long. The record is from Ensembl. Lineage: Eukaryota; Metazoa; Chordata; Aves; Galliformes; Numididae.